This 358-nucleotide unclassified non-coding RNA is filed under the name soil metagenome. RNAcentral's name for it is "partial contains 5.8S ribosomal RNA, internal transcribed spacer 2, and large subunit ribosomal RNA". The stretch from base 1 to 120 matches the Rfam family "5.8S ribosomal RNA", at positions 35 to 154 of the family's 154-position model. The record is from RNAcentral.
GAUGAAGAACGUAGCGAAAUGCGAUAAGUAAUGUGAAUUGCAGAAUUCAGUGAAUCAUCGAAUCUUUGAACGCACAUUGCGCCCGUCAGUAUUCUGGCGGGCAUGCCUGUUCGAGCGUCAUUACGCCCCUCAAGUCCCCUGUGGACUUGGUGUUGGGGAUCGGCGAGGCUGGUUUUCCAGCACAGCCGUCCCUUAAAUUAAUUGGCGGUCUCGCCGUGGCCCUCCUCUGCGCAGUAGUAAAACACUCGCAACAGGAGCCCGGCGCGGUCCACUGCCGUAAAACCCCCCAACUUUUUAUAGUUGACCUCGAAUCAGGUAGGACUACCCGCUGAACUUAAGCAUAUCAAUAAGCAGAGGA